GACGAACGUUGGCGGCGUGCUUAACACAUGCAAGUCGAACGGAAAGGCCCUGCUUUUGUGGGGUGCUCGAGUGGCGAACGGGUGAGUAACACGUGAGUAACCUGCCCUUGACUUUGGGAUAACUUCAGGAAACUGGGGCUAAUACCGGAUAGGAGCUCCUGCUGCAUGGUGGGGGUUGGAAAGUUUCGGCGGUUGGGGAUGGACUCGCGGCUUAUCAGCUUGUUGGUGGGGUAGUGGCUUACCAAGGCUUUGACGGGUAGCCGGCCUGAGAGGGUGACCGGCCACAUUGGGACUGAGAUACGGCCCAGACUCCUACGGGAGGCAGCAGUGGGGAAUAUUGCACAAUGGGCGGAAGCCUGAUGCAGCAACGCCGCGUGCGGGAUGACGGCCUUCGGGUUGUAAACCGCUUUCGCCUGUGACGAAGCGUGAGUGACGGUAAUGGGUAAAGAAGCACCGGCUAACUACGUGCCAGCAGCCGCGGUGAUACGUAGGGUGCGAGCGUUGUCCGGAUUUAUUGGGCGUAAAGGGCUCGUAGGUGGUUGAUCGCGUCGGAAGUGUAAUCUUGGGGCUUAACCCUGAGCGUGCUUUCGAUACGGGUUGACUUGAGGAAGGUAGGGGAGAAUGGAAUUUCUGGUGGAGCGGUGGAAUGCGCAGAUAUCAGGAGGAACACCAGUGGCGAAGGCGGUUCUCUGGGCCUUUCCUGACGCUGAGGAGCGAAAGCGUGGGGAGCGAACAGGCUUAGAUACCCUGGUAGUCCACGCUGUAAACGGUGGGUACUAGGUGUGGGGUCCAUUCCACGGGUUCCGUGCCGUAGCUAACGCUUUAAGUACCCCGCCUGGGGAGUACGGCCGCAAGGCUAAAACUCAAAGGAAUUGACGGGGCCCCGCACAAGCGGCGGAGCAUGCGGAUUAAUUCGAUGCAACGCGUAGAACCUUACCUGGGUUUGACAUGGAUCGGGAGUGCUCAGAGAUGGGUGUGCCUCUUUUGGGGUCGGUUCACAGGUGGUGCAUGCCUGUCGUCAGCUCGUGUCGUGAGAUGUUGGGUUAAGUCCCGCAACGAGCGCAACCCUUGUUCACUGUUGCCAGCACGUUAUGGUGGGGACUCAGUGGAGACCGCCGGGGUCAACUCGGAGGAAGGUGGGGAUGACGUCAAGUCAUCAUGCCCCUUAUGUCCAGGGCUUCACGCAUGCUACAAUGGCUGGUACAGAGAGUGGCGAGCCUGUGAGGGUGAGCGAAUCUCGGAAAGCCGGUCUCAGUUCGGAUUGGGGUCUGCAACUCGACCUCAUGAAGUCGGAGUCGCUAGUAAUCGCAAAGCAGCAACGCUGCGGUGAAUACGUUCCCGGG
RNAcentral lists this ribosomal RNA (1343 nucleotides) under uncultured bacterium. RNAcentral's name for it is "16S ribosomal RNA". It matches the Rfam family "Bacterial small subunit ribosomal RNA", at positions 28 to 1378 of the family's 1533-position model. The record is from RNAcentral.